GCUGCGUGUGGUGGUGCAUGCUUGUAGUCCCAGCUACUUGGGAGGCUGAGGCAGGAGGAUUGCUUGAGCCCAGGAGUUCAAGACUGCAGUGAGCUAUGAUUGUGCCGCUGCACUCCAGCCUGGGAAACAGAGUCAGACCCUGUCUCAA
Molecule: unclassified non-coding RNA, 148 nt
Organism: Pongo abelii (Sumatran orangutan)
Lineage: Eukaryota; Metazoa; Chordata; Mammalia; Primates; Hominidae
Rfam family: Metazoan signal recognition particle RNA
About the family: The signal recognition particle (SRP) is a universally conserved ribonucleoprotein. It is involved in the co-translational targeting of proteins to membranes. The eukaryotic SRP consists of a 300-nucleotide 7S RNA and six proteins: SRPs 72, 68, 54, 19, 14, and 9.
Source: Ensembl